UUAAAUUGAGAGUUUGAUCCUGGCUCAGGAUGAACGCUGGCGGCGUGCUUAACACAUGCAAGUCGAGCGAUGAAGUUUCCUUCGGGAAACGGAUUAGCGGCGGACGGGUGAGUAACACGUGGGUAACCUGCCUCAUAGAGUGGAAUAGCCUUCCGAAAGGAAGAUUAAUACCGCAUAAUGUUGAAAGAUGGCAUCAUCAUUUAACCAAAGGAGUAAUCCGCUAUGAGAUGGACCCGCGGCGCAUUAGCUAGUUGGUGGGGUAACGGCCUACCAAGGCGACGAUGCGUAGCCGACCUGAGAGGGUGAUCGGCCACAUUGGGACUGAGACACGGCCCAGACUCCUACGGGAGGCAGCAGUGGGGAAUAUUGCACAAUGGGGGAAACCCUGAUGCAGCAACGCCGCGUGAGUGAUGAAGGUUUUCGGAUCGUAA
RNAcentral lists this ribosomal RNA (431 nucleotides) under Clostridium perfringens. RNAcentral's name for it is "bacterial SSU rRNA". It matches the Rfam family "Bacterial small subunit ribosomal RNA", at positions 1 to 428 of the family's 1533-position model. The record is from RNAcentral. Lineage: Bacteria; Bacillati; Bacillota; Clostridia; Eubacteriales; Clostridiaceae.